AGAAUAACAUAAAGUGAGUGUUGAAAUAAAUCAACCCAGAAUUGCUUGGCCCAGUAUCAAUUCGUACGUUCCCCAUAAUGUCAGCCAUAGCAGUGGAUACGUCGUGGUCGUCGUGUACGGAAGCAAAUCAGCUAAAGCAGCAGGAGUCAAAGGCUCAGCCAAUGCAAUAGAUAGUGUUGUAGAAAAGCAAAAACAAAAAAACAAAAAUCAUACAAAUGUAAAAAUGCUUGAAAAAUUACAGCAGCAUCAGCAGCAGCAGCAAAGGGAAUGAAGGAAAAUUGUGCAAGAUAUUGUAUGGUUUUUCUAAAAAGAAAUUUGCACAAUUUAACGCUAACCGACCACCUCGGAAGCUCGGAAGCUGUGCACAAAGUAAUUUAAAAUCGAAUCGAAAAAAAGCUCAAAACGAAAAAGAAAAUUACCAUAAAGUGCUUGAAAUUUGUGCGAGGAAAAGGGUGUGAGGAAUAUUACUUAAGUGACAUUGUAGUUUUGGCCAAUCGACAAGCGUGGGUGCUCUCGAGCUACAAUAAAAACAAAGCUGUGCUUGAAGAACUAUGUUUGUAAAAACAAAGUACACCAAUAAAAAAAGUAAUAAAACUAAUUAUAUGUAUGUGUAAUAUAAAACAAAAACGUAAGCUUUAAUUAAGUGAAAUUACAACCCCAAAAACUUGUAUACGUAAACGCAGUGUUGUAAUUUGUGGUGAUGCGCUAUUGUGAUAAGAAUUUCCCCCUUCCCCAAGAACACAGCAGAGAAAAAUAAUUAAAUAGUUAUACUAGUUGUAUAAAAUCUUAAAUUUUACAUAAAAAAAUACUUACUACAUAGACUUUAUUAGUGACUUUUUUAUAAAUUGGUCAGCAUUCGUGAAAUAAAAAUGUCUACAUUUCCUGAAAAAAAAAAAAAAAAAUAGUUUUCGACUUGUGUUCAUUUAUGAAAUUUGCUACCUUUUCGAAUAUUUUUUAAAAUUGUGAUUUUGGAGAUACUCCAGUGAAUAAGAACAAAAACGUAAAACAAAAAAAUAAGUGUAAAAAAAUACAACCAAAAACCAACAUCCAAUCACCAAAAUCCAAAAAAAAAAACUUAAAAAUGUUCAUUGAAAUCUUUUGUGUACGAAAUCCAAUUCUUCUGUACGCUGCACUGCCAAUUAACUGAGAAAAUGUUUUUAAAUUCAAAAUUGUUUCCAUAAAUUCCUAAAACUGUAAGAUAAAAAAUAAACAAAACCAACUACGCGAAGCUAACAGCCGCAGAGUUCUACUACUGGCUCUUGCUAAAAACAAUGGGUGUGUCGGUGUUGCAUGGUUUACUAAAUAAGAAUUUCCUUUUACUAUCACAAACAAUAUCGAACAGUCGGUUGGUUGUAAAAAUGCUGUAAUUCAACCUGAGAAUUUAAUUAAAUGAACUGUGAUUAUGAGUUCCACAAAAUCGCAAGUAGCGGUCGCUACAAAUAUUCCAAGUCUAUCAUCAUCACAAACUCAAAAAGAGUACAGUACUGAAGAGUCUCUGGGUCGUCAAAAUAGUUUCGGCAAUAAUC
Long non-coding RNA from Rhagoletis pomonella (apple maggot), 1526 nucleotides. RefSeq lists it as uncharacterized. The transcript has 3 exons. Lineage: Eukaryota; Metazoa; Arthropoda; Insecta; Diptera; Tephritidae. The record is from RefSeq and is a predicted model, not a curated record.